RNAcentral lists this ribosomal RNA (591 nucleotides) under Flavobacterium sp. EH15. RNAcentral's name for it is "bacterial SSU rRNA". It matches the Rfam family "Bacterial small subunit ribosomal RNA", at positions 21 to 616 of the family's 1533-position model. The record is from RNAcentral. Lineage: Bacteria; Pseudomonadati; Bacteroidota; Flavobacteriia; Flavobacteriales; Flavobacteriaceae.
AUCCCAUCGCUAGCAACGCAGGCUUAACACAUUGCAAGUCGAGGGCGUAUAGGUUUUCGGACCUAGAGACCGGCGCACGGGUGCGUAACGCGUAUGCAAUCUACCUUUCACAGAGGGAUAGCCCAGAGAAAUUUGGAUUAAUACCUCAUAGUAUAGCAGUUUCGCAUGAAACCACUAUUAAAGUCACAACGGUGAAAGAUGAGCAUGCGUCCCAUUAGCUAGUUGGUAAGGUAACGGCUUACCAAGGCAACGAUGGGUAGGGGUCCUGAGAGGGAGAUCCCCCACACUGGUACUGAGACACGGACCAGACUCCUACGGGAGGCAGCAGUGAGGAAUAUUGGACAAUGGGCGCAAGCCUGAUCCAGCCAUGCCGCGUGCAGGAUGACGGUCCUAUGGAUUGUAAACUGCUUUUGUACAGGAAGAAACACCUCUACGUGUAGAGACUUGACGGUACUGUAAGAAUAAGGAUCGGCUAACUCCGUGCCAGCAGCCGCGGUAAUACGGAGGAUCCAAGCGUUAUCCGGAAUCAUUGGGUUUAAAGGGUCCGUAGGCGGUCAGAUAAGUCAGUGGUGAAAGCCCAUCGCUCACGGU